GGAAUUGAGAAUAACAGACAGAUAAACUUCUUGGCAGCAGCAGGGACUUUAGAGUAUCUUUUGGUCAGGGACCCUAGGCCCCUUUGCAAGGGAAAGUGGUCCCUGUGAAACACUAGGUGGGCUUGCAUGGGAGUUUUCUGAGGGGCUGACUGAGAGGCAUGAACUAAGGUGAUGAUAUCCCUAUUGACUUCUGCAAUCUUUGAAUUCAUUGAGGCUUAAGGCUUCUGUCUAGCCCCACAGAAUGCGCGGGAACCCAUGAAUUAUCUAAAUCAAUCACUGUGAUGUUUAAUCAGUUUUGCAAUAAUUUCAUGUGUAUCUUGUUUCUUCAACUAAACCCUAAUCUUUUUUUUUUUAAAUGGACUCUGUUCACAAUUUCGUUUAUUUAUUUAUUUUUGGUACCGGGGAUCGAACUCGGGACCUUGCACUUGGGAGGCAGGCGCGGAACCACUGAGCUAAACCCCCAGCCCUAAACCCUAAUCUUUAAGAACCAAAGCUGUGCAGUUCCUCUCAUGGCAGCCUCAGGGCCCAUGCCUAUGGGAUGUGUUCAUUCUGCCCAAAUUUGUCCAGAAACACAUCCCUUUCUUCAUAUACCUAAGUAGAACCUAGGCGUGGUGGCACAUGCCUGUAAUCCCAGCACUCAGGUGGCUGAGGCAGGAGGAUGGCCCUGAGUCUGAGGCCAGCCUGGGCUACAUAGUGAGUUCAAGGCCAGCCUGGACUAUAUAGUGAGAUUGUCUCAAAAACAAAAAUAAAAACCAAGUAGAGUCUAUCUCCUAUCUCUGGAAUCCAUCUUCUUUUCUCAGAGUUGUCAUUACUCAUUGCCUAGACUGCUGGGGAAAUUUCCUAACUCUCCUAUUUCCACUUAUGCCCUCCAUACACUGCAGUCAGAUUGAGCUCUGAAAAAUCAAAAAUCUUACUUCCCUCAACUUUUUCAGUGACUCCCAUUUGCUUCUGGAAUAAAAUUUUAAAUUCAAAGACCCUGCAUACAUCAGGUCCGGUCUACUUUGCAUAUCUUAUAACUGUUCCAUUUCCCUAUGUCGCCAAUACCCUGAGUGGCUCAGACAAUACCUAUUGUCUUCUUGCUUCAGAAUUUUUACAAAGACUGUUUGCUCAGUGCCCCCUUCCUUUCACUUUCCACCUAGCUGAUCCUAAAUGUUUCUUACUCAGGGAAGACUUUCUGAUUUCUCAAGAUAGGUUAAGACUUUCUUUUAAGUCUUUAUCUCUAUGCAUUUUUCAGAGUUAUUACUUUUGUAAAAUUUUGCAUGUAAUUGGCUGGUUGGCUGCUAGAUUGUAAGCUCUUAAGGGCAGAAAUCUAGUCCAUCUUGUUCUUUGCUAUAGUCCCACUGCUGGGCACACAGCUGCUCAAUAAAUUUUGAUUGAACUUGGAU
Molecule: long non-coding RNA, 1385 nt
Filed under: Heterocephalus glaber (naked mole-rat)
Lineage: Eukaryota; Metazoa; Chordata; Mammalia; Rodentia; Bathyergidae
Description: lncRNA (ENSHGLG00000044450.1)
Source: RNAcentral